GUAGGGGGCCAACCUUAUUUCGAAUUACUGGGCUUAAAGGGGCUGUAGGCCGGUUCGAAAACCCGCCGUGAAAGGUAUUCGGUUCAACCGAUAGACGGCCUGGCAACUUCCCGGCCUGGAAUCUGGAAGGGGAGCUGGAAUUCCAGGUGUAGGGGUGAAAUCUGUAGAGAUCCGGAAGAACCCCGGUGGCGAAGGCGAGCUUCUGGCCAAUGACUGACGGUGAGGCGAGAAAGCGUGGGGAGCAAACAGGAUUAGAUACCCUGGUAGUUCCCGCCGUAAACGAUGGGCACUAGGUGUAGGAGGAUUUGACCCCUUCUGUGCCGAAGUUAACGCAUUAAGUGUCUCCGCCCGGGGAGUACGGCCGCAAGGUUA
RNAcentral lists this ribosomal RNA (372 nucleotides) under uncultured bacterium. Its description in RNAcentral is "bacterial SSU rRNA". It matches the Rfam family "Bacterial small subunit ribosomal RNA", at positions 527 to 896 of the family's 1533-position model. The record is from RNAcentral.